This 301-nucleotide ribosomal RNA is filed under the name uncultured bacterium. RNAcentral describes it as "partial 16S ribosomal RNA". It matches the Rfam family "Bacterial small subunit ribosomal RNA", at positions 509 to 807 of the family's 1533-position model. The record is from RNAcentral.
CAGUAGCCGCGGGAAUACGAAGGGUGCAAGCGUUAAUCGGAAUUACUGGGCGUAAAGCGCGCGUAGGUGGUUCAUUAAGUUGGAUGUGAAAGCCCUGGGCUCAACCUGGGAACUGCAUCCAAAACUGGUGAGCUAGAGUACGGUAGGGGGUAGUGGAAUUUCCUGUGUAGCGGUGAAAUGCGUAGAUAUAGGAAGGAACACCAGUGGCGAAGGCGACUACCUGGACUGAUACUGACACUGAGGUGCGAAAGCGUGGGGAGCAAACAGGAUUAGAUACCCCAGUAGUCCCUGUCUCUUAUAC